Molecule: long non-coding RNA, 427 nt
Organism: Arabidopsis lyrata subsp. lyrata
Lineage: Eukaryota; Viridiplantae; Streptophyta; Magnoliopsida; Brassicales; Brassicaceae
Exons: 3
Source: RefSeq, a predicted model, not a curated record
AUCACUCUUUGUCAUUCUCGCUCUUAUCCCCAAAUUCUUCUUCUUCUUAAAUUCUAUGAAUUCUUCAUCCUCCAUCUUCGUCGCUCGUCCAGAUCCCCUAAACCAUAGCAUUUGAUUUCGUUGGCCAGAAACCCCAAAACAUCUUUGUCGCAGGAGUGGAGUGGUUUAUGUUCUGAUGAUGCUUUUCAUGCCCUCCAGAGGUUAAUUAACAACAUCAAGACUGUGAAAAAGAUUUUGGACAUGAAGGUGUAGAAGUCAUACUAUUGAUGAGCCUAACGAUAAGCUCUUAGUCUGAAGCAAGAUAAUGUUAGGUAGCUUAAGUUGAAAUUUAUGGUUGUGUGACACAAAUAAAGUUAUUUCGGUUUGGUUUUGAAACUAAUGUAGUCAAACUAGAGUUCUUAUUUAAUUGUAUUAUUCUUCAUUAAUU